CCUACGGGGAGCUGCAGUGAGGAAUAUUGGUCAAUGGGCGAGAGCCUGAACCAGCCAAGUCGCGUGAAGGAUGACGGCCCUACGGGUUGUCAACUUCUUUUGUCAGGGAGCAAUUGGGUCCACGCGUGGGCUUAGCGAGAGUACCUGAAGAAAAAGCAUCGGCUAACUCCGUGCCAGCGGCCGCGGUAAUACGGAGGAUGCGAGCGUUAUCCGGAUUUCUUGGGUUAAAAGGGUGCGUAGGCGGAAUAUCAAGUCAUCGGUAAAAAUUCGGGGCUCAACCCCGUCGUGCCGUUGAAACUGAUGUUCUUGAGUGGGCGAGAAGUAUGCGGAAUGCGUGGUGUAGCGGUGAAAUGCAUAGAUAUCACGCAGAACUCCGAUUGCGAAGGCAGCAUACCGGCGCCCAACUGACGCUGAAGCACGAAAGCGUGGGUAUCGAACAGGAUUAGAUACCCGAGUAGCC
This 460-nucleotide ribosomal RNA is filed under the name uncultured bacterium. RNAcentral's name for it is "partial 16S ribosomal RNA". It matches the Rfam family "Bacterial small subunit ribosomal RNA", at positions 338 to 795 of the family's 1533-position model. The record is from RNAcentral.